This 542-nucleotide unclassified non-coding RNA is filed under the name Dendronephthya gigantea. RNAcentral describes it as "fructose-2,6-bisphosphatase TIGAR-like, transcript variant X3". The record is from RNAcentral. Lineage: Eukaryota; Metazoa; Cnidaria; Anthozoa; Malacalcyonacea; Nephtheidae.
GAAUAUUACUGAGCAACAGACGUGACAGGCUGAAACAUAAACACAGCCUUCGCCUCGAGUACGGGAUAAAUAAACCGUCUAAUUUAUACACUAAAUUUUAACUAAAAUGACAAGCUUUUUGUUAACACUAGUACGACAUGCGACACCUGAUUCUAAAAGACGAAUUCCAAAGACAAUCGAUAAUAAGGACAACAGGUUAUCACGAAAGGGUUACUGUCAAGCAGACCUGCUCGGCCAAAGAUUAAAGUGUGAAAAAUUCACUCACAUUUAUUGUAGUGAUAUCACUAAGGCAAAAGAGACUGCAAUGGCAAUUACCAACCACAAUAGAUCAUGUUCAUCCCUGCCCAUACAUGAAGAUCCACGAUUAGAAGAACUGAUUGACCAUGUGUAAUGUCACUGGCCAGAUACUGUACAUGUGGUCGCUGCAAUUUGAAUGUACCCUUUGGGUACACCAAAGAGAUUACUCAAUGAACAGCAGGGAAUAGAAAGUAUAAACAGUUCUUUUUUAAAUAAACUUGAAACUUUAGAGGAUAUCCGCCAUA